RNAcentral lists this long non-coding RNA (495 nucleotides) under Phoenix dactylifera (date palm). Its description in RNAcentral is "long non-coding RNA (PDAC_LNC021469)". Lineage: Eukaryota; Viridiplantae; Streptophyta; Magnoliopsida; Arecales; Arecaceae. The record is from RNAcentral.
UCUUAAUCUUAUCGUAGAUCUUGUAUUACAUUUUAUAAGAUGAACCAGGGUUUUUCAUACAAUUUGAAUUGUAUAUAUGAUUUGUGAAGAAAGUAAGUAACCUGUUCUAAUCCUGUUUUGGAUCAUAUCAUGUUAUUAAUGUUUCCUCAGCAUUUUUUUUAAGAAUAUAUGUUUCAUGCAUGAUAUGUUACAAUGCAUAAGUAAUUUGCAUGAUCCCAGAAGCUAUGGCUAUGUAUGCAACAUGAUGAUACUGAUAUUUUAAUCAUGCAUGUAAGUUUAUAAAGUCUUAGCUAGCCCAGAGGCACUAUAAUGGGCUCAAAGAUGCUACUGAGAAUGACUGAGCCGUCAGUGGCUGAAUAGUAACUGAGCUGCCCCGCCAGUGGCUGAAUAGUAACUGAGCCUGCCCCGCCAGUGGCUGAAUUGGAAUUGGGCCUGCCCCGCCAGUGGCUGAAUAGUAACUGAGCUUGCCCUGCCAGUGGCUAGAAUAGUAACUGA